CCUGGAGGAAGGGGCUGAGUUGGGUUGGGGGCCACGGGAAGGAAUGGAGGGGGGUAAGGAAUGGGGCUGGAGGGGGGAUGGGAGCAUGAGAUGCUGGGGUUGGGGAGGGGAGAGCCCACUUCCUCGCCAGCCUCUGCGGCAUCAACAACAGCUGUUAUUUAUUGAGGGCUGGGCCUGGCUCAAACAAGCAUUUAUUGGGCGCCUCCCGUGUGCCAGGCACGGUGCCCGGGGCGGGAAAUAAGUCCCAGCUCG
Molecule: long non-coding RNA, 252 nt
Filed under: Homo sapiens (human)
Lineage: Eukaryota; Metazoa; Chordata; Mammalia; Primates; Hominidae
Description: non-protein coding lnc-OR2Z1-4:1
Source: RNAcentral